RNAcentral lists this ribosomal RNA (205 nucleotides) under uncultured bacterium. RNAcentral describes it as "partial 16S ribosomal RNA". It matches the Rfam family "Bacterial small subunit ribosomal RNA", at positions 568 to 774 of the family's 1533-position model. The record is from RNAcentral.
CGCGUAGGCUGCGGGGCAAGUCGGGUGUGAAAUCUCAGGGCUCAACCCUGAAACUGCACUCGAUACUGCUCUGCUUGAGGACUGGAGAGGAGACUGGAAUUCACGGUGUAGCAGUGAAAUGCGUAGAGAUCGUGAGGAAGACCAGUGGCGAAGGCGGGUCUCUGGACAGUUCCUGAGCUGGGCGCGAAGGCCAGGGGAGCAAACG